This is a long non-coding RNA of Oncorhynchus keta (chum salmon), 221 nucleotides long. RefSeq lists it as uncharacterized. The transcript is spliced from 3 exons. The record is from RefSeq and is a predicted model, not a curated record. NCBI's taxonomy places the organism in Eukaryota, Metazoa, Chordata, Actinopteri, Salmoniformes, Salmonidae.
CCCUGUCUCAGUGAGAUGAGGUCAGUGUUCCCCUGUCUCAGUGAGAUGAGGUCAGUGUUCCCCUGUCUCAGUGAGAUGAGGUCAGUGUUCCCCUGUCUCAGUAAGAUGAGGUCAGUGUUCCCCUGUCUCAGUAACAUGAGGUCAGUGUUCCCCUGUCUCAGUAAGAUGAGGUCAGUGUUCCCCUGUCUCAGUGAGAUGAGGUCAGUGUUCCCCUGUCUCAG